UCCCAACGUCACAUCUAAAGGGAGACUCACCUAAAUUCAUCACAUGUGACCACUGGUGAAGGCAGGGAGUCGUCAGUUUGAGGAGCCCUGGGGUUUUUGAUCCAGCCUCCUGGGUGAGUCUCAGGUGAAGCUAUGCUGGAUUGGGAAGAGGAAAAUAAAUCAGUGGCGAGAUUCCACUGAGGUGGUGUCUGGAAGCUGUCCCACACCUCUACCAGAGAGAUUUCAAAGAUUCCAGGCUUCUUUCCCUCUUUAAGCAAUGGAAGGU
This is a long non-coding RNA of Choloepus didactylus (southern two-toed sloth), 265 nucleotides long. RefSeq lists it as uncharacterized. The transcript is spliced from 3 exons. The record is from RefSeq and is a predicted model, not a curated record. NCBI's taxonomy places the organism in Eukaryota, Metazoa, Chordata, Mammalia, Pilosa, Megalonychidae.